This 374-nucleotide unclassified non-coding RNA is filed under the name soil metagenome. RNAcentral's name for it is "partial contains 5.8S ribosomal RNA, internal transcribed spacer 2, and large subunit ribosomal RNA". The stretch from base 1 to 119 matches the Rfam family "5.8S ribosomal RNA", at positions 35 to 154 of the family's 154-position model. The record is from RNAcentral.
GAUGAAGAACGUAGCGAAAUGCGAUAAGUAAUGCGAAUUGCAGAAUCCGUGAGUCAUCGAAUCUUUGAACGCACAUUGCGCCCGCCAGUAUUCUGGCGGGCAUGCCUGUUCGAGCGUCAUUACAACCCUCAAGCCCCCCGGCUUGGUGUUGGGGACCGGCCACCGGUGCCCUGCUGCUUCCGCGGCAGGCGCGCCCGGCCGCCCCCGAAAUGAAUUGGCGGCCCCGUCGCGGCCUCCCUCUGCGUAGUAGCACACAUCUCGCAGCUGGAGCGCGGCGCGGCCACUGCCGUAAAACGCACCAACUUUUUUUUUACAGUUGACCUCGAAUCAGGUAGGAAUACCCGCUGAACUUAAGCAUAUCAAUAAGCGGAGGA